AUGACAGGCAAGGCAGCAUCUGCUAUGCAGGAGGUGCUCCACAAAUCUGCUCUGAAUGAGUGGAUGUAUUUUCCAUGUCUGUGGCACAGUAGUCACUCAGUAAGUGUAGAUUUUGUCCCUUUCUUUUCCCAGAUUAGCAGCCACCAUAGAGUUGGUUUCUGUACUUUAACCUCUCAAUCAAGCCAAAAACACAGCUUCUUAGAGGGACCAGGCCAUGUCUGCAAGAUAUUCCUCAACCGUGACAUCAGCAACCAUCUUAGGCCAUUGGCAGGGAGUGAGCUGACUACUCCCCAGGGUCUCAGGUCCUUUUCCAGGAGUAAGUGACCAUCGUGUACCCAUGGGAAGAGUGCUGCAUCCACGGAGGACCUGGGCCAACAGUGCUCUGAAAUGGGUUUCAUGAAAGCAUCUGUGACUCAUUCCUGUCCAAGAAUGUUUUCAUUAAGAUUCAGCAGAAGCGAUGUGCCAGGUCAGCAAAUACAACUGCAAAACUGGGGCCUGAUAGCCUGGCCAACACAGCAAGACCCCGUCUCGACUAAAAAUUAAAAUUAAAAUUAAUUAGCUGGGUAUGGUGGCUGUAGUCUCAGUUACUCAGGAGGCUAAGGUGGGAGGGUCACUUGAGUCCAGGAGGCCAGGGCUACAGUGAGCCACGAUUGCACCACUGCACUCCAGCCUGACGCCGUCUCAAAAACAAAACAAAAACCCUGGGGCCUGAAUGCAAAGUGAAACACUUGCUCCUGUUAAUCAUAGCACUUGCAUUACAGGCCAGGUGGCUCCUAGCAUCCGUCCACAGCACAAGGCCAUGUUGUGUAGCAACACAUCCCUAGUCCAGCCACAGGGAGCUGCCUGCAAGGGGAAGUGGUGAGCAAACAGCUGCACAGCAGCAGGGAAGCUCCAUCUGCCUCCCCCUUCAUGGCCCUUCCCAGCUGCUGCAGAGAUGCUGGGGGUCCCUUCCACACACAGGCCUAUGUUCUAGCUAAUGAGAGCCAGGAGACUGGCAAGAUUAAGCAGAGUCCUCAUGAGUGAUCUGGCAAACCCCACUGCACUUCAGAACAGAUCCCUAGAUUCUGGGCUUCACCUCAUUUAAAAAGGACACUGUGAAUACUGUUUCAAGUAAAUAAAAUAAUGAGGAGAUGAGAAAGAGGAAAGAAAAAUAGUUUUCAAAAGCUAUCCUUUAAUUCCCUCAGAAGCACAGCUCUCAGUGUCUACAAAGUACUUAAUCUGUGCUUGGUCGGUGGACAGAGUAGUCCGUGUGCUUGGCCCAGUGUCCUACUCUGUGAGCAUUCUAACUGCAUGAGCACACUGGGCAGCUGCCUGGGACCGGGGGCUGGCACUGUAGCCAUGACCUUGUGGCUAGUCCCUCCGUGUGACCAAGCUGAAAGGCAUUAAGUGGAUUAAGCCAGCUCCAAGUAACAUGGAAGGCACUCUUCCUCUUUUGCAGAACAAGGCUCUCAUUUUCAGCUUUAAGCCACCUUAUUUCCACUUCUAAGAGUCAGGACUGUUGUUCUGGAUCUCAGUGAGACAGCACCCAGCACACCCAGUGGAGUUAGAGAACUCUCAGUCUCUUGCUGAUAGCCUGAAAAAAAUAGGGACCAUGGAGGAAGGUAGGUCAGUCUGCACCCAUGGGUCAGAGGACUGGGAAUUCCCAGGCGUCACUUGGCCUUUGACAUCUGUUCACCUUUAGAGGCCAGGAUUCCAGCAGUCGGCCCAUGAUGACACAGACAGGGCUAGGGUAGGAGCCAUGCAUUAGAGCCAGAGGGCUUCUCCUGAACCUCGUUCUCCAACAGCUGCAACUCUGUCCUUAACACAUGCUGAUGACAAAAUGAAUGCAGGUAGUUUGAAUUCUGCUUACUCAACCUCUAUUGAGUGAAUGAGCAGUGAAACACCUAAGGGGGGCAAAAAUGAGCAGUAGUCCCAGAUAAAACACACAUGGAAUGACUAUGCUGUGGCCCAUCCUUUGCCAACCAGCAAGCAUAACCACUUUAUGCCACGAGUAUGGAGUCUGUUUGGGAUGGGCCGAAGGCUUCCUGGUCCUUCAGAAAUGUGCAAAGGACCCCUCUCUCCGUGGUGAAUGGACAGGCUCCAGGAGAUCCCAAAGGUCAUAGAUUCCAGAAGUGAGGUGUAAAAUUCUCCUGGGGCGCAAGACACAGAGAAAAUAAAUGUAUUCUAGGGACCCCCAAGACCAGGCCCAUGGCUGGGGUGGAAGGCUUCCAGGGAGCUAUCAGAGUGCAACACUUCCAUCCUGGAGUCAAGCCAUUCACAAACAAAUGCAAGAAUGCAGAAGGGGGCUGGAGGCGAGAACAGCAAGGAGGCAGGCCAAGGGUCAGGGAAGGGCAACUGUGAAAUAACGAGGUGAUUUAUACAAUUUACUGUAUAUUUCAAGGUAGCUAGAAGAGAAGAAUUGCAAUGUUCUCAACACAAAGGAAAAAUAAAUGUUUGAGAUGAUGGAUAUCCCAAUUACGCUGCUUUGAUCAUUGCAUAUUGUAUAGAGGCAUCAAA
Long non-coding RNA from Rhinopithecus bieti (black snub-nosed monkey), 2496 nucleotides. The record is from Ensembl. Lineage: Eukaryota; Metazoa; Chordata; Mammalia; Primates; Cercopithecidae.